RNAcentral lists this small nucleolar RNA (48 nucleotides) under Pyrobaculum aerophilum str. IM2. RNAcentral's name for it is "PAEsR47". The record is from RNAcentral. Lineage: Archaea; Thermoproteati; Thermoproteota; Thermoprotei; Thermoproteales; Thermoproteaceae.
AUGAAUGGAGGUUUCCGGGGCGAGGGGUGAGCGGAGCCGUAGUUCUGA